AGCAGUAGCCGCGGUAAUACGUAGGUCCCGAGCGUUGUCCGGAUUUAUUGGGCGUAAAGGGAGCGCAGGCGGUUUAGUAAGUCUGAAGUUAAAGGCAUUGGCUCAACCAAUGUAUGCUUUGGAAACUGUUAGACUUGAGUGCAGAAGGGGAGAGUGGAAUUCCAUGUGUAGCGGUGAAAUGCGUAGAUAUAUGGAGGAACACCGGUGGCGAAAGCGGCUCUCUGGUCUGUCACUGACGCUGAGGCUCGAAAGCGUGGGUAGCGAACAGGAUUAGAUACCCCCGUAGUCCCUGUCUCUUAUACC
This 303-nucleotide ribosomal RNA is filed under the name uncultured bacterium. Its description in RNAcentral is "partial 16S ribosomal RNA". It matches the Rfam family "Bacterial small subunit ribosomal RNA", at positions 507 to 808 of the family's 1533-position model. The record is from RNAcentral.